CCUAAUACAUGCACGUAGAACGCUGAAGAGAGGAGCUUGCUCUUCUUGGAUGAGUUGCGAACGGGUGAGUAACGCGUAGGUAACCUGCCUUGUAGCGGGGGAUAACUAUUGGAAACGAUAGCUAAUACCGCAUAACAAUGGAUGACACAUGUCAUUUAUUUGAAAGGGGCAAUUGCUCCACUACAAGAUGGACCUGCGUUGUAUUAGCUAGUAGGUGAGGUAAUGGCUCACCUAGGCGACGAUACAUAGCCGACCUGAGAGGGUGAUCGGCCACACUGGGACUGAGACACGGCCCAGACUCCUACGGGACGCAGCAGUAGGGAAUCUUCGGCAAUGGGGGCAACCCUGGCCGAGCAACGCCGCGUGAGUGAAGAAGGUCC
RNAcentral lists this ribosomal RNA (380 nucleotides) under uncultured bacterium. RNAcentral's name for it is "bacterial SSU rRNA". It matches the Rfam family "Bacterial small subunit ribosomal RNA", at positions 47 to 417 of the family's 1533-position model. The record is from RNAcentral.